Molecule: ribosomal RNA, 637 nt
Filed under: Anticoma sp. TCR44
Lineage: Eukaryota; Metazoa; Nematoda; Enoplea; Enoplida; Anticomidae
Description: eukaryotic LSU rRNA
Rfam family: Eukaryotic large subunit ribosomal RNA
Source: RNAcentral
CGUUUAGAAGGAAACUGAUGGAGCUGCAAUGCAGCCUGUCGAAUUCAGUCUGUCACUUGGCCUCUGGCUUUGAGACGGAUGCAUUUUCGGCAGGUGCGCGCCGCGACCGAUUCGACUACUGGCUAAGGCAGCCUGGUUGAGGACUCCGGCUUGCUGGAGAACCCCGCUAGGCAUGCUGGACCGGGUUGGUUGGAUUGGAUAUGUACCGUGCCCGCUGUCUUGGGUGGUAGGCCCAGUGCGCCGGUUGAACUUUUGGGUUUCUGCAUUCGCAGUGCCUGGAGACGCCCGGUGUUUUGCGGUUUGCUUGUCCCGAGUGGCACAGAAGGUCUGCGGCGUCCGUGUCAGCCACCCAUCUGACCCGUCUUGAAACACGGACCAAGGAGUCUAACAUGUGCGCAAGUGAUUGAGUGGCAAACUCAUACGCGCAAUGAAAGUAAAGGGCAGUUCGGCUGUCUGACGUGAGAUCCCGGUUACCCGCGGGUGCUGGGCGCAUCACGGUCCCGUCCCAUGGGUCACGUCCCAGGGGCGGAGACAGAGCGUACAUGUUGGGACCCGAAAGAUGGUGAACUAUGCCUGAGCAGGAUGAAGCCAGAGGAAACUCUGGUGGAGGUCCGAAGCGGUUCUGACGUGCAAAUCG